RNAcentral lists this ribosomal RNA (506 nucleotides) under uncultured bacterium. RNAcentral describes it as "partial 16S ribosomal RNA". It matches the Rfam family "Bacterial small subunit ribosomal RNA", at positions 29 to 523 of the family's 1533-position model. The record is from RNAcentral.
AGUGAACGCUGGCGGUAGGCCUAACACAUGCAAGUCGAACGGCAGCACAGGAGAGCUUGCUCUCUGGGUGGCGUGUGGCGGACGGGUGAGGAAUACAUCGGAAUCUACUCUGUCGUGGGGGAUAACGUAGGGUAACUUACGCUAAUACCGCAUACGACCUACGGGUGAAAGCAGGGGACCUUCGGGCCUUGCGCGAUUGAAUGAGCUGAUGUCGGAUUAGCUAGUUGGCGGGGUAAAGGCCCACCAAGGCGAUGAUCCGUAGCUGGUCUGAGGGGAUGAUCAGCCACACAGGAACUGAGACACGGUACAUACUCCUACGUGAGGCAGCAGUGGGGAAUAUUGGACAAUGGGCGCAAGCCUAAUCCAGCCAUACCGCGUGGGUGAAGAAGGCCUUCGGGUUGUAAAGCCCUUUUGUUGGGAAAGAAAUCCAGCUGGCUAAUACCCGGUUGGGAUGACGGUACCCAAAGAAUAAGCACCGGCUAACUUCGUGCCAGCCGCCGCGGUAA